RNAcentral lists this non-coding RNA (175 nucleotides) under bacterium. RNAcentral describes it as "6S RNA". It matches the Rfam family "6S / SsrS RNA". Rfam says of the family: E. coli 6S RNA was the first non coding RNA to be sequenced, but its function was unknown until recently. It consists of 184 nucleotides that fold into an extended hairpin structure with a large single-stranded internal bulge. The record is from RNAcentral.
UGAUCCCUGCUCCAGUAGCAGCCACAUCUAUAAAGAACCUUCAAAUCAGAGAGACAGGGAGCCCGACUCUGGACGCGUAUUACAGGCCUCCAUCGAGUGGAAGUAAAAAACGUCAGGGGGGCACCCACCGUGUGACCCACGGUUCUUUAUAGCCAUGCUAUUGGGCAGGGAUAUU